UGGUCGCAUAGCUCAGCUGGGAGAGCACCUGCCUUACAAGCAGGGGGUCACAGGUUCGAUCCCUGUUGCGACCACCAA
This 78-nucleotide transfer RNA is filed under the name Clostridium perfringens B str. ATCC 3626. RNAcentral's name for it is "tRNA-Val". It matches the Rfam family "tRNA". From Rfam's summary of the family: Transfer RNA (tRNA) molecules are approximately 80 nucleotides in length. Their secondary structure includes four short double-helical elements and three loops (D, anti-codon, and T loops). Lineage: Bacteria; Bacillati; Bacillota; Clostridia; Eubacteriales; Clostridiaceae. The record is from RNAcentral.